Molecule: ribosomal RNA, 497 nt
Filed under: uncultured bacterium
Lineage: Bacteria
Description: partial 16S ribosomal RNA
Rfam family: Bacterial small subunit ribosomal RNA
Source: RNAcentral
GACGAACGCUGGCGGCGUGCCUAAUACAUGCAAGUAGAACGCUGAAGCUUGGUGCUUGCACCGAUCGGAUUAGUUGCGAACGGGUGAGUAACGCGUAGGUAACCUGCCUGGUAGCGGGGGAUAACUAUUGGAAACGAUAGCUAAUACCGCAUAAUAGUAGAUGUUGCAUGACAUUUGCUUAAAAGAUGCAAUUGCAUCACUACCAGAUGGACCUGCGUUGUAUUAGCUAGUUGGUGAGGUAACGGCUCACCAAGGCAACGAUACAUAGCCGACCUGAGAGGGUGAUCGGCCACACUGGGACUGAGACACGGCCCAGACUCCUACGGGAGGCAGCAGUAGGGAAUCUUCGGCAAUGGACGGAAGUCUGACCGAGCAACGCCGCGUGAGUGAAGAAGGUUUUCGGAUCGUAAAGCUCUGUUGUAAGAGAAGAACGAGUGUGAGAGUGGAAAGUUCACACUGUGACGGUAUCUUACCAGAAAGGGACGGCUAACUACGUG